RNAcentral lists this non-coding RNA (228 nucleotides) under Shewanella putrefaciens. RNAcentral describes it as "FMN sequence". It matches the Rfam family "FMN riboswitch aptamer (RFN element)". Rfam says of the family: The RFN element is a highly conserved domain that is found frequently in the 5'-untranslated regions of prokaryotic mRNAs that encode for flavin mononucleotide (FMN) biosynthesis and transport proteins. This element is a metabolite-dependent riboswitch that directly binds FMN in the absence of proteins. In Bacillus subtilis, the riboswitch most likely controls gene expression by causing premature transcription termination within the 5' untranslated region of the ribDEAHT operon and precluding access to the ribosome-binding site of ypaA mRNA. The record is from RNAcentral. Lineage: Bacteria; Pseudomonadati; Pseudomonadota; Gammaproteobacteria; Alteromonadales; Shewanellaceae.
GCAAAUUCUCAGGGCGGGGUGAAACUCCCCACCGGCGGUAAAUGAGUAACGGCUAAGUGAUGGUGACUUAGUGUGGCUCAAAGCCCGCGAGCGCCCGAAAUCAUGUUCGGGGUCAGCAGAUCUGGUGCCUCAGUGUUUGCCGAGUGCAAAUCUGAUAUUCCAGAGCCGACGGUAAUGGACUGUGACCUUAAUGGCAACAGUGCUGAGUCCGGAUGGAAGAGAAUGUAA